GGGGAUAUAGCUCAGAUGGUAGAGCACCUGCUUUGCAAGCAGACCGUCGUCGGUUCGAAUCCGACUUUCUCCACCA
This 76-nucleotide transfer RNA is filed under the name Affinundibacterium amnicola. RNAcentral's name for it is "tRNA-Ala". It matches the Rfam family "tRNA". Rfam says of the family: Transfer RNA (tRNA) molecules are approximately 80 nucleotides in length. Their secondary structure includes four short double-helical elements and three loops (D, anti-codon, and T loops). The record is from RNAcentral. Lineage: Bacteria; Pseudomonadati; Pseudomonadota; Betaproteobacteria; Burkholderiales; Oxalobacteraceae.